CCUACGGGCGGCUGCAGUGGGGAAUAUUGCACAAUGGGGGAAACUCUGAUGCAGCGACGCCGCGUGAGUGAAGAAGUAUGUCGGUAGGUAAAGCUUGAUCAGUAGGGAAGAAGAAAGACGGUACUUGACGAAGAAGUCCCGGCCAACUACGUGCCAGCAGCCGCGGGAAGACGUAGGGGGCAAGCGUUAUCCGGAUUUACUGGGUGUAAAGGGAGUGUAGACGGCUGGGCAAGUCAGAGGUGAAAGCCCACGGCUCAAUUCUGGGAGUGCUUUUGAAACUGUGGGGCUAGAGUGCUGGAGAGGUAAGUGGAAUUCGUGGUGUAGCGGUGAAAUGCGUAGAUAUUAGGAGGAACGCCAGUGGCGAAGGCGGCUUACUGGACAGUAACUGACGUUGAGGCUCGAAAGCGUGGGGAGCAAACAGGAUUAGAUACCCUUGUAAUC
RNAcentral lists this ribosomal RNA (441 nucleotides) under uncultured bacterium. Its description in RNAcentral is "partial 16S ribosomal RNA". It matches the Rfam family "Bacterial small subunit ribosomal RNA", at positions 338 to 795 of the family's 1533-position model. The record is from RNAcentral.